UCCUGGAGACAAACAGGCGGCGAGACGCAGCGCCUUAACAGAGGAUCGCUCCCACAGGCUGAAGAAAAAAAAGAUAUAUAUACCUUUUUUUUUGUUUUGUUUUGUUUGGGUCAGAAAACCGAAGAUUUGCGAGAGGCAGGCAGCAAACAAAGGGCAGGGCGCUGCGCAGGCUGCCGAGCACGCCCCGGGACGGCGCAGGCCCCUCUGGCAAGGGGCUCCCCCCCAACACACCUCCCCCCAAAACCCGGGCCCCGGCCCCACACGGACCCCCACACACACACACCCCCCUCAGAGCGCUCCUGCCUCACGGGGGGGGGGGGGGGGGGGCGAUGGGGCCGCCCCCUGCCCUGCCCUGCCCUGCCCUCCCCUCACCCCCCAGCCCCCAGCUCUACCUUGGGGGCUCCCGGGGGGGCUCCGGCACGGGACGAGGCCGCCGGGGCCCGGCGGGGGCCGCCUCAGGGCGCUGAGGGCCGGGCCCGGCCCCUCCUCACUGAGCGCUGGGGCCAGCGGCGAGGGGGGGGAAAGGGGAAGGGCGGGGGGGGGGCACGGGGGGGGGGGGGGGGGGCGCCUCGGGAGCCCCUCAGCGCGGCCUCCUCCCCUCCCGGUGCGGGUCCCGGUGCCGGUGCUCACCCGCCGGCCGCGCGGCGUCACGGCAGCCCGCCCGCCAUCUCCCGUCUGGGCGGAGGAGGAGGGGGAGGAGGCGGGAGCGAGGCACCAUCGGCAGCGAGGGGAGGGGGGGUGAAGGGGGGGACCGCGGCCGCGCCCCGCGUCACAUCCGCUCAGGGGCUGAGGGAGGAGGGCAGCGGGACGCCCGCCCCGCCCGCCGCCAUCUUGGUUGUGGGUAGCCGGCCGCAAGGAAGAUGGCGGGCGGCGGGGCGGAGCGGGGGGGGGGGUGCGCUGCUGGCGCUGCCCGGCCCUGCCUGCUCCUCUCCCCUCCUGCCCUGCUCUGUGCCUUGUCCCCCGCCGAGCCCCGCUCGGCCGCCGGCUUUCCCCUCACGCCGCGGGGUUACCUGCCGGGCCGGGAGCGCGGCCAUCCAGCGGCAUCGGCACCCGGCGCAGCAGCGCUGCAGCCGCUGUGCGGCGGGCCCCGGGACUGCGCCUCAGGGCGCGCUGCCGCCGGGGGAGGGGGGAGCGGCACGCUGCCCGUGUGUUCUUAAAAAAACAGCAUUCAUGAGGCAGGACAGUACACAGAAUCAUAGAAUCAUUAACGUUGGAAAGACCUUCGAGACCAUCUGGUCCAACCGUCACCCUGCCACCACUGUCACCCACUAG
This 1272-nucleotide long non-coding RNA is filed under the name Anas platyrhynchos platyrhynchos (common mallard). Its description in RNAcentral is "lncRNA (ENSAPLG00000029192.1)". The record is from RNAcentral. Lineage: Eukaryota; Metazoa; Chordata; Aves; Anseriformes; Anatidae.